UACGUAGGGUGCAAGCGUUGUCCGGAAUUAUUGGGCGUAAAGGGCGCGUAGGCGGCCGGGUAAGUGAGAUGUGAAAGCUCUGGGCUCAACCCAGGAAUUGCAUUUCAUACUGCUCGGCUUGAGAUUGGUAGAGGAUGGCGGAAUUCCAGGUGUAGCGGUGAAAUGCUUAGAUAUGACAUAGAACACCAAUUGCGAAGGCAGCUGGCUACGCAUAUAUUGACACUGAGGCACGAAAGCGUGGGGAUCAAACAGG
Molecule: ribosomal RNA, 253 nt
Filed under: uncultured bacterium
Lineage: Bacteria
Description: partial 16S ribosomal RNA
Rfam family: Bacterial small subunit ribosomal RNA
Source: RNAcentral